AGAGUUUGAUCCUGGCUCAGGAUGAACGCUAGCUACAGGCUUAACACAUGCAAGUCGAGGGGCAUCAUUAUCGAAGCUUGCUUUGAUAGAUGGCGACCGGCGCACGGGUGAGUAACGCGUAUCCAACCUUCCCCUUAGUAGAGGAUAGCCCGGCGAAAGUCGGAUUAAUACUCUAUGUUGUAUUUUGAGGACAUCUGACGAAUACCAAAGAUUUAUCGCUAAGGGAUGGGGAUGCGUCUGAUUAGCUUGUCGGCGGGGUAACGGCCCACCGAGGCGACGAUCAGUAGGGGUUCUGAGAGGAAGGUCCCCCACAUUGGUACUGAGACACGGACCAAACUCCUACGGGAGGCAGCAGUGAGGAAUAUUGGUCAAUGGGCGUAGGCCUGAACCAGCCAAGUAGCGUGCAGGAAGACUGCCCUAUGGGUUGUAAACUGCUUUUAUGCGGGAAUAAAGUCAGGUACGUGUACCUGUUUGCAUGUACCGUAUGAAUAAGGACCGGCUAAUUCCGUGCCAGCAGCCGCGGUAAUACGGAAGGUCCGGGCGUUAUCCGGAUUUAUUGGGUUUAAAGGGAGCGCAGGCGGAGGAUUAAGCGUGACGUGAAAUGUCCCGGCUCAACCGUGGAACUGCGUCGCGAACUGGUUUUCUUGAGUGAGUGCGACGUCGGCGGAAUUCGUGGUGUAGCGGUGAAAUGCUUAGAUAUCACGAAGAACCCCGAUUGCGAAGGCAGCCGACGAGUCCUUAACUGACGCUAAAGCUCGAAAGUGCGGGUAUCGAACAGGAUUAGAUACCCUGGUAGUCCGCACGGUAAACGAUGGAUGCCCGCUGUCUGCGAUACACUG
Molecule: ribosomal RNA, 839 nt
Filed under: uncultured bacterium
Lineage: Bacteria
Description: bacterial SSU rRNA
Rfam family: Bacterial small subunit ribosomal RNA
Source: RNAcentral